UAGUCUGGUGGAAGGUGUCUCUGCUCAUGGCAGGGGGGUUGAAACGAGAUGAUCUGUAAGGUCCUUUCCAACCCAUGCCAUUCCGUGACUCUACGAUGAAUUCUGUGUGGGGUGAGCUGUGUCGGGGGCAGGCUGAGCACAGGGCGCGGUUGCUCAUGCAGUGUGUGUACCUGCCGUUAGGCGUCUGCCAGGGGCAGGCACAGGCGUUUCUCCCAAGUGAUGACUUGGAUCAGUGUUCCGCACUGGGUUAUUUUUAUCCAAGGCCUGUUACUUAAUCUUGUUUCCAUGAUUGCCCACAUGCUUUUAUUUGCACGUUACGGAGAGAGUAGGAGCAUGUGGUGUGAAGGAUGACAAGUAGAAAUAGAAACUAAAGCUACAGCUUUAGAGGUAGUGAAUGAAGCUAGUUGGUAUCUCUCUUGGCAAAUAAAAAGAAAUGGAAGAGAACUAAAGAUUUUUGCUGAUGAAGUGUGAAGAUUGCAUUAGUCUGUUAUUUAAACUGCACAUUUUAUCAUUUUAGUCAUCCUUUGACCCACCAAAGUGGACUUUUACACUGAGAACGAUUCCAUAUAAACAGGACAAGUGAACAAACUGACCAAACAACCGUGUGAGCUGCCUUAUGUGGAAGAAAAUUAAUGAAGCGUUUUUGGGGUGAUGACUGCACAUUUUUACCAGUGUCAACUCCUCCGUUGAAUCGGAAUGUUUUCAGUCUGAAGAUGAACAGUAAAGGACAACAUAGAUGUCGGAGACAGGAGUCUGGUCUGGUAGGCUGUUGAACAUCAUCUGCAGCAUGGGACUACAGUCUAUAUCCAAGAAGCAGGGUCCUUUCUUACAGGUGGCAAGAUGCAAAACACAUUUUCAAGUAUCUUCUUGAGCAGAUAUAGGGAACAAAGUAAAAUCAAAGAAGAAAACACUGGAAUUUUCUUAUAUAAUAUUAGUGGAUAUUAACCUUAUGUUGUCUUCUGUGUCUCUUCGUUAUAGGCACUUGUUUGGACUGAGAUGCAUAUUAAAUAACCUCUGACAGUGUGUUAAGAUAGUGAUAGUGUUUAGCAGUGCCCUCUGCAGGCUUUUAUUUGGUAAGCAGAGAAAGCUGUAGCAACUCUGCUUGUUUUGAUUAUGUGUUUAUACUGGUUGACCUGGUUCUUUUUAUGUAUUUUGCUAGCAGAGUACCAUCUGAACUUUGGAAUUUUGUUCCCAAGCUGCUUGGAAAAAAACACAGAGUGCUGUAAGUGAUCCACUAAGUGCUACAGAAAUUACCCGCUUGUUUCAAGAGCCUAGUUUCUUAUCAGUUUGUGUGUUACAACCAUACAGCGUCCUGGGCAACAGGAAUUCAAGUUCCCAUCUCUCUUCCCCCUAGGAACUUAUUUCUGUCUGUACUGACCUGGCUGUGUCUGAAAGAAAUGGGUGAUCAAUUCAGCUUUCACUCCUUUGUGAUCAGUGACUACACUGAAAAAAAAAUCAGCUUUUUUUUAAGGGCCUUGUGUCACAAUCAACCAAGCUGUUACUGAGUCAGAGCCAUCCAAACAUCCCUAAAAUACAGUUGAAAGUACAGUUGAAACUGUCACUGUCAGAAGAGGCAUCAUAUUUUGAGCUGUUUCCUGUUGAAGUCCAGUGUUAAAGAAAUUGUUUUCAAAUUCUGCCUUUUUUACCUAUUUGUUAAUGAUCUGUAUGUUGCGGCUUAAAAAUACCUUCUAGUUGCAGGACAGAACUUGGAAAUAAUUUCUGUCUUGGUAAAUUACAUGAAAAUCAAUUGCUCAUCCCAAAUCAUCAUUGAUUAAAUGGUAACUAUUUCAGUACAAGAAUACAUCACAAUAAAGUAGAGCCUUUUCAUUACUGUAUUUAUGAGUAAAUUGCUGUCAUUCGUGUCUAUGCCCUGCACACCAAAGAAAAUAUGUUUUCCAGUUAUGAGGCUCAGAAAUAUGAGGACAGGUAUAUGCCAAGAGUUCUGUCUUCUAAUCUGAGACCAUAAAGUGACAUCUUUGUGGUCUCUUGGGAUGUCAUCAAAGUCUUUGUUGUUAAAAUCUUACUAAAAUCUUACUGUUAUGUGUGUAAAUUAUUUAAAGAGACAGAUUUGAACUUUUUUUGUCAAGCAGAAGCUUGUACUUACUGAGCUGAAGGGGCAAAAGAUGCAAUGUCAGGACUAGCUGCUAAUAUACAUACAAAAAAAAAAGUAUGAAUACUGUCAGUUAUAUUCUUAGAUGGACCUCACAAAUAUUGAAUAACAGAAAAAUAAACCCAUUCAAGAAAAAUGCAUUUGAAAAAUUAUAGAAAGUUGGUUUACUUUAUCCACAUUUAGAAAAAUAUCUGGGUAUUCUGUGGCUUGUUCAGAGGUUUGAUGUUUGUAAAUUAACACUGUGGAGCUAUAGAGCUUGUUCUUUAGGAGAUUUAAAUUAGAUAGCAUCAAAACAGCAAAAUAAAAGGGGAAAUGCUGUAUGAACUUCUGCUUUUAGGCUACACUGCAACAGUCACAGUUUUUCAGCCACUGAACCAUUGCAACUUUUCAGCAGUUCCUUGACAGAGUUAAAUAGACAUUUUCCUAAAUGUAAUCAAAGCUCUUGUGUUCCAUUAAUAAGAAAAAUAAAAGUAUUUCAGCUUUUGUAGAUUACAGCCACAAAACUACUGAGUGGGAAGAAAACAGGUUGGAAUGCUGACAGAACAAAAUACAUUUCUGUACACCAAGGCUUACUUGUUUUGGUAAGCAUGCUAUGUGUCAUUGGAUGUCAGUUUUUCAGCUUGGAUACUGUUUUAUGACUUGGCUUAAUACUUAUAAUAAAUAAAUAAGGACAUGCUGUGGCAGAAAUGUUUCCAUUACUCAUCUUUUUGGAACGAUAUGAUGAAACAUAGCA
This is a long non-coding RNA of Pipra filicauda (Wire-tailed manakin), 2843 nucleotides long. RefSeq lists it as uncharacterized. The transcript is spliced from 4 exons. NCBI's taxonomy places the organism in Eukaryota, Metazoa, Chordata, Aves, Passeriformes, Pipridae. The record is from RefSeq and is a predicted model, not a curated record.